UCAUAUUGAACGCUGGCGGCAGGCCUAACACAUGCAAGUCGAACGGUAACAGGAAGCAGCUUGCUGCUUUGCUGACGAGUGGCGGACGGGUGAGUAAUGUCUGGGAAACUGCCCGAUGGAGGGGGAUAACUACUGGAAACGGUAGCUAAUACCGCAUAACGUCGCAAGACCAAAGAGGGGGACCUUAGGGCCUCUUGCCAUCGGAUGUGCCCAGAUGGGAUUAGCUAGUAGGUGGGGUAAUGGCUCACCUAGGCGACGAUCCCUAGCUGGUCUGAGAGGAUGACCAGCCACACUGGAACUGAGACACGGUCCAGACUCCUACGGGAGGCAGCAGUGGGGAAUAUUGCACAAUGGGCGCAAGCCUGAUGCAGCCAUGCCGCGUGUAUGAAGAAGGCCUUCGGGUUGUAAAGUACUUUCAGCGGGGAGGAAGGGAGUAAAGUUAAUACCUUUGCUCAUUGACGUUACCCGCAGAAGAAGCACCGGCUAACUCCGUGCCAGCAGCCGCGGUAAUACGGAGGGUGCAAGCGUUAAUCGGAAUUACUGGGCGUAAAGCGCACGCAGGCGGUUUGUUAAGUCAGAUGUGAAAUCCCCGGGCUCAACCUGGGAACUGCAUCUGAUACUGGCAAGCUUGAGUCUCGUAGAGGGGGGUAGAAUUCCAGGUGUAGCGGUGAAAUGCGUAGAGAUCUGGAGGAAUACCGGUGGCGAAGGCGGCCCCCUGGACGAAGACUGACGCUCAGGUGCGAAAGCGUGGGGGAGCAAACAGGAUUAGAUACCCUGGUAGUCCACGCCGUAAACGAUGUCGACUUGGAGGUUGUGCCCUUGAGGCGUGGCUUCCGGAGCUAACGCGUUAAGUCGACCGCCUGGGGAGUACGGCCGCAAGGUUAAAACUCAAAUGAAUUGACGGGGGCCCGCACAAGCGGUGGAGCAUGUGGUUUAAUUCGAUGCAACGCGAAGAACCUUACCUGGUCUUGACAUCCACGGAAGUUUUCAGAGAUGAGAAUGUGCCUUCGGGAACCGUGAGACAGGUGCUGCAUGGCUGUCGUCAGCUCGUGUUGUGAAAUGUUGGGUUAAGUCCCGCAACGAGCGCAACCCUUAUCCUUUGUUGCCAGCGGUCCGGCCGGGAACUCAAAGGAGACUGCCAGUGAUAAACUGGAGGAAGGUGGGGAUGACGUCAAGUCAUCAUGGCCCUUACGACCAGGGCUACACACGUGCUACAAUGGCGCAUACAAAGAGAAGCGACCUCGCGAGAGCAAGCGGACCUCAUAAAGUGCGUCGUAGUCCGGAUUGGAGUCUGCAACUCGACUCCAUGAAGUCGGAAUCGCUAGUAAUCGUGGAUCAGAAUGCCACGGUGAAUACGUUCCCGGGCCUUGUACACACCGCCCGUCACACCAUGGGAGUGGGUUGCAAAAGAAGUAGGUAGCUUAACCUUCGGGAGGGCGCUUACCACUUUGUGAUUC
This 1457-nucleotide ribosomal RNA is filed under the name uncultured organism. RNAcentral describes it as "SSU rRNA". It matches the Rfam family "Bacterial small subunit ribosomal RNA". The record is from RNAcentral.